RNAcentral lists this ribosomal RNA (404 nucleotides) under uncultured prokaryote. RNAcentral's name for it is "bacterial SSU rRNA". It matches the Rfam family "Bacterial small subunit ribosomal RNA", at positions 355 to 776 of the family's 1533-position model. RNAcentral also lists the same sequence under 1 other name. The record is from RNAcentral.
UGGGGAAUAUUGCGCAAUGGAGGGAACUCUGACGCAGCAACGCCGCGUGAAGGAUGAAGGCUUUCGGGUUGUAAACUUCUUUGAUCGGGGACGAAGAUGACGGUACCCGAGGAACAAGCCACGGCUAACUACGUGCCAGCAGCCGCGGUAAUACGUAGGUGGCAAGCGUUGUCCGGAAUUACUGGGUGUAAAGGGCGUGUAGGCGGGGCGGCAAGUCAGAUGUGAAAUACCGUGGCUUAACUGCGGGGGUGCAUCUGAAACUGCUGCUCUUGAGUGUCGGAGAGGAAAGUGGAAUUCCCAGUGUAGCGGUGAAAUGCGUAGAGAUUGGGAGGAACACCAGUGGCGAAGGCGGCUUUCUGGACGAUAACUGACGCUGAGGCGCGAAAGCGUGGGUAGCAAACAGG